Molecule: ribosomal RNA, 699 nt
Filed under: Brevibacterium sp. GN0406-11.4.ps.d
Lineage: Bacteria; Bacillati; Actinomycetota; Actinomycetes; Micrococcales; Brevibacteriaceae
Description: bacterial SSU rRNA
Rfam family: Bacterial small subunit ribosomal RNA
Source: RNAcentral
GGCUGCGUGCUUAACACAUGCAAGUCGAACGCUGAAGCCGACAGCUUGCUGUUGGUGGAUGAGUGGCGAACGGGUGAGUAACACGUGAGUAACCUGCCCCUGAUUUCGGGAUAAGCCUGGGAAACUGGGUCUAAUACCGGAUACGACCACCUGACGCAUGUUGGGUGGUGGAAAGUUUUUCGAUCGGGGAUGGGCUCGCGGCCUAUCAGCUUGUUGGUGGGGUAAUGGCCUACCAAGGCGACGACGGGUAGCCGGCCUGAGAGGGCGACCGGCCACACUGGGACUGAGACACGGCCCAGACUCCUACGGGAGGCAGCAGUGGGGAAUAUUGCACAAUGGGGGAAACCCUGAUGCAGCGACGCAGCGUGCGGGAUGACGGCCUUCGGGUUGUAAACCGCUUUCAGCAGGGAAGAAGCGAAAGUGACGGUACCUGCAGAAGAAGUACCGGCUAACUACGUGCCAGCAGCCGCGGUAAUACGUAGGGUACGAGCGUUGUCCGGAAUUAUUGGGCGUAAAGAGCUCGUAGGUGGUUGGUCACGUCUGCUGUGGAAACGCAACGCUUAACGUUGCGCGUGCAGUGGGUACGGGCUGACUAGAGUGCAGUAGGGGAGUCUGGAAUUCCUGGUGUAGCGGUGAAAUGCGCAGAUAUCAGGAGGAACACCGGUGGCGAAAGCGGGACUCUGGGGCUGUAACUGACAC